UUACUGAGUUUACGCUCUAUAACCCUUUGUGAACAUACCUAUAACUGUUGCUUCGGCGGGUAGGGUCUCCGCGACCCUCCCGGCCUCCCGCCCCCGGGCGGGUCGGCGCCCGCCGGAGGAUAACCAAACUCUGAUUUAACGACGUUUCUUCUGAGUGGUACAAGCAAAUAAUCAAAACUUUUAACAACGGAUCUCUUGGUUCUGGCAUCGAUGAAGAACGCAGCGAAAUGCGAUAAGUAAUGUGAAUUGCAGAAUUCAGUGAAUCAUCGAAUCUUUGAACGCACAUUGCGCCCGCCAUCAUUCUGGCGGGCAUGCCUGUUCGAGCGUCAUUUCAACCCUCAAGCUCUGCUUGGUGUUGGGGCCCUACAGCUGAUGUAGGCCCUCAAAGGUAGUGGCGGACCCUCCCGGAGCCUCCUUUGCGUAGUAACUUUACGUCUCGCACUGGGAUCCGGAGGGACUCUUGCCGUAAAACCCCCAAUUUUCCAAAGGUUGACCUCGGAUCAGGUAGGAAUACCCGCUGAACUUAAGCAUAUCAAUAAGCGGAGGAAAAGAAACCAACAGGGAUUGCCUCAGUAACGGCGAGUGAAGCGGCAACAGCUCAAAUUUGAAAUCUGGCCCUAGGCCCGAGUUGUAAUUUGCAGAGGAUGCUUUUGGUGCGGUGCCUUCCAAGUUCCCUAGAACGGGACGCCAGAGAGGGUGAGAGCCCCGUACAGUUGGACACCAAGCCUUUGUAAAGCUCCUUCGACGAGUCGAGUAGUUUGGGAAUGCUGCUCAAAAUGGGAGGUAUAUUUCUUCUAAAGCUAAAUACCGGCCAGAGACCGAUAGCGCACAAGUAGAGUGAUCGAAAGAUGAAAAGCACUUUGAAAAGAGGGUUAAACAGCACGUGAAAUUGUUAAAAGGGAAGCGCUUGUGACCAGACUUGCGUCCGGUGAAUCACCCAGCUCUCGCGGCUGGGGCACUUCGCCGGCUCAGGCCAGCAUCAGCUCGCUGUCGGGGACAAAAGCUUCAGGAACGUAGCUCUCUUCGGGGAGUGUUAUAGCCUGUUGCAUAAUACCCUUCGGCGGGCUGAGGUACGC
This 1076-nucleotide unclassified non-coding RNA is filed under the name leaf metagenome. RNAcentral describes it as "partial contains internal transcribed spacer 1, 5.8S ribosomal RNA, internal transcribed spacer 2, and large subunit ribosomal RNA". The stretch from base 491 to 1076 matches the Rfam family "Eukaryotic large subunit ribosomal RNA", at positions 1 to 598 of the family's 3401-position model. The record is from RNAcentral.